GCCGGGCGUGGUGGCGCAUGCCUGUAAUUUCAGCUACUUGGGAGGCUGAGGCAGGAGAAUUGCUUGAACUUGGGAGGUCGAGGUUGCAGUGAGCUGAGAUCAUGCCACUGCACUCCAGCCUGGGUGACAGAGCAAGAAUCUGUCUCAA
Pongo abelii (Sumatran orangutan) is the source of this 148-nucleotide unclassified non-coding RNA. It matches the Rfam family "Metazoan signal recognition particle RNA". From Rfam's summary of the family: The signal recognition particle (SRP) is a universally conserved ribonucleoprotein. It is involved in the co-translational targeting of proteins to membranes. NCBI's taxonomy places the organism in Eukaryota, Metazoa, Chordata, Mammalia, Primates, Hominidae. The record is from Ensembl.